GAUGGGCUGUAACUUGGAGAUGUAGGUGAGUAACCAGGAGAUGUGGGACUAUAACUUGGAGAAGUUGGACUGUACGCAGGAGAUGUGGGAGCAUAGGAAGGUGAAGUAGGACUGUAUGCUGGAGAUGUCGGGCUAUAGCUAGGAGAGGUUGGGCUGUAACUUGGUGACGUCGGACUGUAACUUGGUGAUGUCGGACUGUAACUUGGUGAUGUCGGACUGUAACUUGGUGAGGUUGGGCUGUAGCUAGGCGAGGUGGGGGCAUAACUUGGAGAAGUUGGAGAAUAAGAUGGUGAUGUUGGGCUAUAUCCAGGAGAAGUAGGGCUGUAAGAAGGUGAUGUGGGACUGUAACCAGGAGAGGUAGGACUAUAACCUGGGGAAGUAGGACUGUAACCAGGUGAUGUAGGACUAUACCCAGGUGAUGUGGGGCUGUAACCUGGUGACAAGGGACUGUAUCCAGGAGAGGAAGGGCUGUAUCCUGGAGAUGACGGGGAGAAGGGCAUGUUCCCGACGUACGGCGAAAACUGCGCAUCUGAUAGUGGAGAAGCACGCAGACUUGGACUAAGCAGAUAACUGGGUGACAUCAUGCCAUCAUUGUGUGGCGUUCCGAUCAUA
This 612-nucleotide long non-coding RNA is filed under the name Physcomitrium patens. RNAcentral's name for it is "long non-coding RNA (PPAT_LNC008662)". Lineage: Eukaryota; Viridiplantae; Streptophyta; Bryopsida; Funariales; Funariaceae. The record is from RNAcentral.